CAGCAAUUGGCUAAGGGGCUGCGGCUUUCCGAACCCUCUCUCCCGCCCGUGACUAUGAAUGGACAUCGGCGUUGUCAGUCACCCGUACUGCGCCGCAACCAGGCCCUUGGCCGGUCUUUCUGUCUUUCUUUCGUCGCUGAUUCCUACCUCAUCCUGGGCAAGUUCAGGGUAGCACUUGGGAGCAGAGGAGCUUCGGCAAGGAAAGUCAGCCCGCAUGGCCCUAACGUGACCGUCGGUUAUGGGAGGGUUUUAGGCCUAGGAGGAGCGUGGAAAGCGCACAGAGGAACUAAGGCUUUGCUACCGUUGGUCCAGGCGGACUGUGAGCCUCCAGUUCAAAAGCUGGACAGAGUUGGCGGCAGCGAAAACCGAGGAAUCCCAGCUGCGUCCUUAUCUUCUUCUUCCCACCCCAGGUCAAAGGCGCGCUUCGCAGAGCCCCAGGGCACGCGGUGCUGCAUGGGCCACGGUCCACGGAGGUAGGAGAAGGCCUGGGGUGCCAACCGCAGGGAACUUGAUGGGGCUGGAAGGGGACAGGGAGUUCCGGAAGAGGCCAAGAGUCGAAGCCUCAGCCGGUUACUCCCACGCCCCUACCUCCACAGGCCGGUAGGGGUAAGUCACCCGGGCCCUCUAGUCCGACUCUCAGCGGGCCGACACGGGCGGGCAGAGGGACCAGGAUGCUGUGGCCCUACGCCUUGCGCUCUGAGGCAUCACCGUCGGCCAAGACCCUAGCGGCAGCGGUUCCUGUCCCUCUCUGCGACCGUCCUCACGGCUGUGGCCGACCGGCUGCCCUGUGCCUCGGCGUCCCCCGCCAGCGUUCCGGGCUGGGAGCGUGGCCCAGGGCAGAGACAGGGGAGGGGAGGUGGCGCGCGCGGAAGAGAGGAAGAUAAGGGAGAGAGGCGGCUGGGGAGCCAGGCUGGCAGGAGCUGACCUGCGCCCUCAGCCUGGCUGGCAACCGGCCCUCCAUAGCAACGGCCUGCCAGAGCCUGUGGGCGCGCGCGUUUGUGCGCGCGCGCGCGAAUGUGUGCGGUGAAGAUCUGAGCCUUCCCAGUCCCUGGGUAACAGAGGCUGAACAGGAUCGCACAAUCCCGGGUCGGGGACCGAGGAGUCCCCUUCAGGAGGGAGGCUCAGCUUUGCAGGUGCGGCUGGCGCCUUAGGGCCCGGGAUCCCUCUCGGCCCGGGGUGGGGAUGCGCCCAUCUCAAGCUCGGUUUCAGGGUCCCGGGGCUCCUGGCCUCCUGCCCAAACCUCCUGUUGCAGCCGCAGGAUCAGGGAAUUGCGCGUGGUGCGGCUCGAGCGAGCGCCUGAGAUCUGGCCCGGAGCGUGCGCCCCCGUCGGCUGGCUCCCCAGAGCCCAGAGGGGCUGAGCGGAACAGGCCGAGCGACCCGUGGCCACCCUCCGCUGGGAACCUGCUCGCCGGCCUCAGGCGCUCCUCUUGUCCUCCAGCCACGUGGGGUUCCCUGCUGGCCCAGCCGCAUCCCGCAGCUCAGUUUCGGAGAACCGCGUGAGGACCCGGCAGUGGGCCCCAGGAUCCUGAAGCCACCGAAUACAGGCUGAACCCCAGAGUAGGGCAUGCAGCUCCAGGCCAGAUGGCCAGCUUUGUGUUCUCCACAAAUUGAUGUGACUUGACAAGUAAGUGAGUAAAAAAUUAUUUCACGUAGUUUUCUGUCGUCCCAAAGGAUCCUACUUUCAUGUCAAAGCACCACACUAGAUUAGACCUGAACUGAAAAACCCAGUCUUUCCAACAAGUGGAGGAAGGAUGGGCUCGGAGGUGGCUCAAUGUAAGUUGGAUUUUGGUCACUUUCAAAAGAGUGAGAUGGCUUUAAAGGCACCAUAGAAAAGUACGUCCCCCCCCCCCCCCCCCGGCUUCCCCUGUGGUGGGCAGUGACUUGCCGUGGACAGCCCUGACCCAUGGCCCCUGCUUCCCAUGGACAGCCUCCAGGAUUCUGCUUGAUCCCACACCAUGCUGGUCAGUUCCCAAGGGGAAAGACAGACUCUCCAAGAAAUUCAGGAAAAGAAGUGUUUGUAAUUUAAGUGGGGACCCAUUUAGCCUGCUGCUUCAGAAACAGCCCUAUCUGAGAUACCACUGUCCCCAAAACUGGGCGUGAAAACCAAGACCUCUGGGAUCCUAAAGGAGUCAUGGGACUUACGGCUCUGGCCGUCCCUGUAGGCGAUGCCCAUAGACUAUGGUGGGGUGCUGGUGCCCUGUGAGAACCUCUGUCUGGUAGCUUGUGAAUGUGGACAUGGGAUGGGACAUAGAUAGGAAGUGGUCAUCUACAUGGGUCACUCACAUCCACUAGAGAGACUGGAACAGGAUGAACACGGGCAGCUGUGCUUGGCUGCUCAGGGGGCACCCAUGUUUAGUCCUGAACCCCAAGAUGGGGUGGUGGUGCUGGGGAGCAAGCGACAGCCCAGCUCCUAGGGUUGGCACCCCAAGGAUGCCAGCUCUGGCACUGUCAAUACACAUUCGAGGUCCCACGCAUGGUGAGCGUCUGCACUGCCUUGGCCUGUUCCUCUCUCUGGCCACCACACCACCUUCUGGACCCAGGAGAAAGGCCUUUCCCCGCAGCCUGGACCUCCUCAAGCAUCACUUCCUGUGGACACGCAGCUGUGCAUCACGUCACCCCAGUGAGCCCCAGCCCGACUUCUUCUGUGGGCUGGCAGCCCAUACCCUGCAGGGCUGGUGCACAGCUAUCAGGAGCAAGGACCCUGGCUACCAAGCGAAGACCGUGAGCUGCUCCUGCCAUCGUGUAACCCUGGGAUGAUAGUGUAGC
This 2766-nucleotide long non-coding RNA is filed under the name Heterocephalus glaber (naked mole-rat). RNAcentral describes it as "lncRNA (ENSHGLG00100042177.1)". The record is from RNAcentral. Lineage: Eukaryota; Metazoa; Chordata; Mammalia; Rodentia; Bathyergidae.